ACUUCAAAAUAUGAAAUUCGUUUUAAACAAUACAAGUACAACACAGUCGAAGUCUAGUCUAAUAUUUCCCUAAUCACUACAAUGAACGUGUUGUAAAGGCGACCCAAACUCAAAACUAUUAAUGCACAAAGUUAGCCCGACAACUAUCGCCAACCGAGUAACUUGUGCCACAAAUAAUAUCUAAAAUUAAUUCUCACACCAUUGCAGGGUCGACCGCGUGUAUUUGUGGCAUGUUUUAGAAAGCAAAAGUACUAGGUUUGCAUAGGAGUGAAGGAGCUUAGCUGUGGUCGCGUAGGCUCGGUGCGUCGCGGGCAGACGGCGCGCGGGGGUGGAUCGAUACCCAGGCCGCAUUGUUGCCCCUGCUCAAAGCCCCUCAGCCCGCACACUUCCCCGCGCCCCGCCCCAGGCUUGCACCCGAAAUUCGCCCCAUUUGAUCCUGAGAGCGCGAAUCAAUCGCUUUUGUUGCAGUAACUUGAUGCAUCACUUCGAAGGGCGAAGUUGCCGAUGUCAUGUAAAAAGGGGCCUUUAGUGCUAUUGUAGGUCGUUGUUCCCUGCUAAUAAGGGCGGAAAUGGCUAAAAUUUAAAAGAAAAUUGUUUUUUACAGUCAACAGCUGUUUACGACAAAUGUUAAAGCAUUGUUCACGUGGAAUCGACGCAGAGAGCCAAUAAAAUAAGAAAGCGUAACACAAUGUUGUGAGAAGAAAGCUGACCUGUAAGUUUUGGUUUUACAAUAAGCGAAAUAGCUAAUUAGCUAGCUAGCUAUUCUUUAACAAUAUUUCACAGACGAGUGCACUGUUUAAUGAACUGCGUGUUCAAAUGCAGUUUAUGAGUGGCAGAUUUUUUCCAAUUGCAUAGUAUACGGGGAUAUUAAAAUAAAGAUGCAAGAUGCAUAACAUUCACAUGUUUAUAAGUACAUGUUACGUUUCUUUGGGAUUAAGUAUUGAAUGAAAGAAACCCGCAACACAAUGUAAAUUACUAUUAAGUUUACGCAUAAUAUAUAUUUUUACUUGUAUUAAUAUCCAGAUAAUUGUGAACUAAAUGAAUAUAAAACUAGGAAAGCUAGGAAAUACAUUUCAAAGAUUUCAUGGGAAUACAAUAAUAAUUAUAAUUGCCGCUUGUAUCUAUCUAAACAAUAGACCGAUAGAACUACAUAGUUAGUACCUACAUAUUCUAAAACGGUUCCUGGGUUAACAGCAACGCAAUAUACGCGGGAAGUUUAAAAGACGUUCUUAUCUCAAAACACGGUUUAAAAACACAUUAUCGUUAAUAGAAUAUUAAAUUUUGAAACUAUUUUAAAGUUUCGCAACGUUGUUACUUUUACUAUGCGCACUAUGUAUAAACUUAACGACAUUCGAGGCUCUGGGUUGUAAAAGAUAAGCUAAAACUUGCCAAUAAACUAAAAUACCGCUACGUUACACCGCGGCUUUCCCUGCAAGAUUUGUGAUUUUAUGCUGUGCAAUUACUAUUAGAUGUUAAGUGUCUAAUACACUAGAGAUGUUAGUUCUGUUUUGAGUUUAGCUUUUACUCUAUUGUACUAGAAAUGUUCUGAAAUAACUUUGAAAAGAACAUAAAUGAAAUUUAACCUUUUGUUUUAGGUAAUCGACAUUACAGUCAGUUCAGACAAAUAAGCGUACAUUGGGAUUGUAAAAUACAGAAUACAAAACAAACAGAUGGAAGUCGGCAAACGUAUGUGAAGGAGGGAAUAAGGGUUUUGAACGUAAAUAACAAAUGGUCUUUAAAAGUCUGUGGCUGUCCCGAAUAAAGGGAAGUAGAUUUACACGCAAGGAAAGCCGUUUAUAGACAAAAUAAAACCGUGACUGGUAACUUAGUAUUAAAGUUUCAACACUCUCAGAACGUUUUAUCUUUUUAAACUAAGUUAGUUUUGUCUUUUCAGAAAAUUAGUGAGAGACUAAAAAUUGUACUGACUUUUUUACAGUGUAAUGGUACGAUUAACAUAAAAAACGAAUUAGCUACCCGCAUCAAGUAAAUUUUAGUCUAUUAGCAAAACAAGUCGAAAAUUGCUGAACAGAUUUUUAUGUAGUCACCAGUGGAUAGAAUGAUCGUGAAGAUUUAAAUAUCAAGAUGGCGAAGCUGGAUGUGGAAUGCCAAUUUGAAAUAAAGGCUUUGAAUUGUCCUUUUGACCCAAACAUAAUAAGGACAUAGGCACUACCUAUGUCCAAUGAACACGGAACUUAGGCCAACAAAAUGUUCAACAAUAGAAAUGUCAAGACAAAGCUCUUUAGAAAAACUUAGUCGUUCGGAACAAAAGGACGUUCCGUUGAAAGUGGAGACGCAAAGGGGGCGCUGUAAAUCAAUGCUGGCGAAUAAUAAAAUGCAAAUGUACAAAGACUUGUUUUUACUGGAAACGCUGAUAUAGACAACGGCCAUCUUAGUCAAGACGAGAAAGUUCUUGUUAAUGUUAUCGCAUCAGAUGUUUCCUUUACAAGUAACUUCAGUUAUUAGUCGAAACAAGAUAGGCAACGCCUUGUGUGAGCAAAAGCACGUUCAACACCUCCAUCUAAAAAGGCAACAUGAUUUAGAACUGGACCAGUAUUAAGUUAUUAAUAAAGAAAUAAAACUGCUAAACAUUAAACGAGACAUGACUAUAUCCUUAUUAAGGAAGCAGUUUAUUACAAGCACGCUACAUAUUUUGUACCAUAACUUUGAGCAAAGAGAAGAAAACGAAGCAGACGCAUUUGAAGACUUCGGGGAACUCGAAGCUCAGAACGCACAUCGGUUUCAAACUGUUGAUAGGGCUUUCGUUUAUUGUUUCUUUUGUGAAAUGAUAUCGGACAUACCAUUUAUAUGACGUUCCCAUUUUACCAACAAGUUAAUGCAAUAGUUUACAAAAUUCAGGUUUCGUAUAUUCAUCGUGUUAUUUUUCGUGUACAAAUAUAUCAAUCACUUUCUAAUCCGCUGUCGUCUCAACGUUUGUGCCAACUGGUGCAUAAGAAAAGGUGACGCUCGUAUCAAGCAACUGCAUCGACCUACAAUGAUGACCCUGGCAUGUUACCAGUCACAAAUGAAGGUUUAUUGCCAACGUAAUGUCGCAGCCAUUCAUCAGGCGUCGUUAGAGUCAAGAGGCAAUCUAGGAGCCAUACAUUUCUGUGAUUACUUUUACAUCCUGAUACGGUUGGACAGGUUUGUGGAAUAAAUUUUAAAGCAGUGGAAAAUUGGAAAUGCGACAAGUAGCAAUUGGUGAAUGAUAGUAAUUAUCUGGUAGUAGUCGGCCGCCCACCAGAAUUCCACGCUCAUUCCCACUGUAGCGGAACACUUGGUGCUCCCAGUUGUUUAUUCUCUCACACAAGUUAUGUUUUGGAGUGCGUGACUUGUCAAACGCCACGUCACUUGAACGCAGCACGCCAGCUACCCACGGUCCAUUAUUACUUUGUUAUUACUAAACGAGGAAUACGGUUUCGGAACGAUUUGUUUAAAGUAGUGCUUAUUGUUAUUCCACCAUAAAAAAAGUAAACCGUUAGGUAGCUAGGUGCUAGUGGAAAGCGUUUCAGUGGAAAUAAUUCCACAAACAUUCGAACGUUUGUGUGCUUUUUUGAUGAAACCUAAAAUCAAUAUUUGCACAAGGUUUCGUGUUCUUCCAUAUAACACUGCACAACACAAACAGUUGUAUCGAUUGCUGCAUAUGGUUGUGAGUUUGUGAUGAAUCAAAGCAUUCAGAGAUCCGUACAUCAAUACAGCUGAGACUAGCGUUUCAACGGAACAGAUAAACAAGCCAUAAUACCGUGGUAGGAGCGGACGAUAAACAAAGCAAGGGUCAACGCCACUGCACCGAGCACACGCAGCACAAAUUAUUACAUUUUUACUUUCAUGAUACAUUCAUGGAAUGAAUGAAGAGUUUGUGGUGAGUCUAAUGAGUUUAGAAGAUUGCUAGUUUAUUGAAAGUAAUCAUUUCUGAGGAGUAAUAUACCGAAAUCUUUGAAAAAAUAUUAGUGUCUCUUGUUGCUUCUUUAUUAUCUUUAUUUAAAAAACAUCAUCGCUACUAAGUUUUUCUCUCGCAAGGUUAUUUUUUAUGGCAUUAAUUAUACAGGAUGCUUACACGAAUGUUGUUUGGAACACAGUAAAAGCAUACAGAUUUACUUGUCUAAUCCUCAGACGUUUCGUUUAAGACUUAAGUCAUUCCCAAAGGCGAAGUUCCGAAAGCUUACCGCAAAUAUUUGAUGAAGAUUUUAUCAAGACCAUGAAGGGCCGAGGUACGAAUGUAAAUAUGAAUAGUUACAACUGCUAUGAUAAUGAACUAAGACCUCAAGCAUUAGUAGAAUUAAUUCUCACUUCCUGUCCUCAUUAAAAAGUUUAAGAAACAGAGUUAGUCACUUGAGAAAAAUGGUUUGAUUCGUCACAGACUAACAAAAAAUCAGUGAUGGUGACUAAGUUGAUUUCUCAAAGGCUAUCUCGUCAAUGGAAUGACACAGCAGAAAGGCUCCAAUCACUCUGUACAAUUCUUUGUUCAAUCCCGGAAUUCCCGAGGCAUUUCAUUUAAAACAUUUCGCAAAACAUCGACCCCUCGCUGUGAUAUUAAAAAUUGCAAUCAAACGUCGGCAAAAGAUGAACGCAUGAUACACCAAACAGUAAUUAAGUAUUUGAUACGUUACUCCGGUCACGGUAAAGCAAAAAAUAUUCAUGCAAAUUAGUAGAUAUUUCUGUACUUUUAAGCAGUCUUAUGAAAAACCGGUCCUUUUUAAAGAAAGAAGCUAAAGAUUACUUUUUUUUUUUGUAUAAUAGACAGUAAUAGCUCAGCAUGGUAUUUUUUUAUCAAAGAAUAGGCAAAUAAAAACAGGGAGAGACAGAGGUGCAAUGCCUAUUAAUUAUGCUACAGAACCUGAAAUACUACAUAAUCCUGAAAAAAAAAAAUAAGAUCACAUGCAUUUUAACCAAUAUGGCAAUAAUGGU
Molecule: non-coding RNA, 4905 nt
Organism: Spodoptera litura
Lineage: Eukaryota; Metazoa; Arthropoda; Insecta; Lepidoptera; Noctuidae
Source: RefSeq, a predicted model, not a curated record